AACGAACGCUGGCGGCAUGCCUAACACAUGCAAGUCGAACGAGAUCUUCGGGUCUAGUGGCGCACGGGUGCGUAACGCGUGGGAAUCUGCCCUUUGGUUCGGAAUAACAGUUGGAAACGACUGCUAAUACCGGAUGAUGACGAAAGUCCAAGGAUUUAUCGCCAGAGGAUGAGCCCGCGUAGGAUUAGCUAGUUGGUGUGGUAAAGGCGCACCAAGGCGACGAUCCUUAGCUGGUCUGAGAGGAUGAUCAGCCACACUGGGACUGAGACACGGCCCAGACGCCUACGGGGGGCAGCAGUGGGGAAUAUUGGACAAUGGGCGAAAGCCUGAUCGAGCAAUGCCGCGUGAGUGAUGAAGGCCUUAGGGUUGUAAAGCUCUUUUACCCGGGAUGAUAAUGACAGUACCGGGAGAAUAAGCUCCGGCUAACUCCGUGCCAGCCGCCGCGGUAA
RNAcentral lists this ribosomal RNA (449 nucleotides) under uncultured bacterium. RNAcentral's name for it is "partial 16S ribosomal RNA". It matches the Rfam family "Bacterial small subunit ribosomal RNA", at positions 29 to 523 of the family's 1533-position model. The record is from RNAcentral.